GAACACUUGGAUGGUUAUGGUAUGAUGAUGAUGUUGGAAAUGUCACAUCAAAUAUGGGUACUACUGUUGUAUCUUAAUCAAGUGAUUGCUCUAGUACAGGUGCUAAUAUAGAUGACAGGUAAUGAUUAUUAACUUGAGCUAAAUAUCUGAAAAGUUACUUACCUGUAACCUAAGCUUUUUAUGCAAAAAGUGUUGUCAAGCUAGCCCCACC
This 211-nucleotide long non-coding RNA is filed under the name Sorghum bicolor (sorghum). RNAcentral describes it as "long non-coding RNA (SBIC_LNC015879)". The record is from RNAcentral. Lineage: Eukaryota; Viridiplantae; Streptophyta; Magnoliopsida; Poales; Poaceae.